Molecule: non-coding RNA, 97 nt
Organism: Acanthosepion pharaonis
Lineage: Eukaryota; Metazoa; Mollusca; Cephalopoda; Sepiida; Sepiidae
Source: the annotation of a GenBank genome assembly
CAGUGAAACUCUGGUUCUCAUCCGAUCACCGAAGUUAAGCAAGGUCGAGCUUGCCCAGUACCUAGAUGGGUGACCACUUGGUAAUGCCAGACGCUGU